Molecule: ribosomal RNA, 265 nt
Filed under: uncultured Actinomycetales bacterium
Lineage: Bacteria; Bacillati; Actinomycetota; Actinomycetes; Actinomycetales
Description: partial 16S ribosomal RNA
Rfam family: Bacterial small subunit ribosomal RNA
Source: RNAcentral
GUGCCAGCCGCCGCGGUAAUACGUAGGGCGCAAGCGUUGUCCGGAAUUAUUGGGCGUAAAGAGCUCGUAGGCGGUUUGUCGCGUCUGCUGCGAAAACGCAAGGCUUAACCUUGCGCCUGCAGUGGGUACGGGCAGACUAGAGUGCGGUAGGGGAGACUGGAAUUCCUGGUGUAGCGGUGGAAUGCGCAGAUAUCAGGAGGACACCGAUGGCGAAGGCAGGUCUCUGGCCGUUACUGACGCUGAGGAGCGAAAGCAUGGGGAGCGA